CACGUAGGGCGCGAGCGUUGUCCGGAAUUAUUGGGCGUAAAGAGCUCGUAGGCGGCCUGUUGCGUCCGCUGUGAAAGCCCGGGGCUUAACCCCGGGUCUGCAGUGGAUACGGGCAGGCUAGAGGUAGGUAGGGGAGAAUGGAAUUCCCGGUGUAGCGGUGAAAUGCGCAGAUAUCGGGAGGAACACCGGUGGCGAAGGCGGUUCUCUGGGGCCUUACCUGACGCUGAGGAGCGAAAGCGUGGGGAGCGAACAGG
This 254-nucleotide ribosomal RNA is filed under the name uncultured bacterium. RNAcentral describes it as "partial 16S ribosomal RNA". It matches the Rfam family "Bacterial small subunit ribosomal RNA", at positions 524 to 776 of the family's 1533-position model. The record is from RNAcentral.